RNAcentral lists this ribosomal RNA (236 nucleotides) under Olea europaea subsp. europaea. Its description in RNAcentral is "Bacterial small subunit ribosomal RNA". It matches the Rfam family "Bacterial small subunit ribosomal RNA", at positions 938 to 1143 of the family's 1533-position model. Lineage: Eukaryota; Viridiplantae; Streptophyta; Magnoliopsida; Lamiales; Oleaceae. The record is from Rfam by way of RNAcentral.
CAUGUGGUUUAAUUCGAUGCAAAGCGAAGGACCAGGGCUUGACACUUCACGAAUCCUCUUGAAAGAGAGGGGUGCCUUCGGGAACGCGGACACAGGUGGUGCAUGGCUGUCGUCAGCUCAUGCCGUAAGGUGUUGGGUUAAGUCCUGCAAUGAGCGUAACCCUCGUGUUAGAAUAACAGCUCCAGAUAUUAAAUCAAUCUAAUUCUUAAUGUCUCAAAUGGGUGGUAUCCCACUUG